UCAGGUGGUUAUAGCACGAGGGUUCCACCUCUUCCCAUUCCGAACAGAGAAGUUAAGCCUCGUCACGCCGAUGGUACUGCGUAACAGUGGGAGAGUAGGUAG
RNAcentral lists this ribosomal RNA (102 nucleotides) under Bacteroides thetaiotaomicron. The record is from RNAcentral. RNAcentral also lists the same sequence under 1 other name. Lineage: Bacteria; Pseudomonadati; Bacteroidota; Bacteroidia; Bacteroidales; Bacteroidaceae.